GGAAUUACUGGGCGUAAAGGGAGCGUAGGCGGGUUAUCAAGUUGGGGGUGAAAGCCCGGGGCUCAACCUCGGAAUUGCCUUCAAAACUGAUAACCUAGAGUAUGGGAGAGGUAAGCGGAACUCCGAGUGUAGAGGUGAAAUUCGUAGAUAUUCGGAAGAACACCAGUGGCGAAGGCGGCUUACUGGCCCAUUACUGACGCUGAGGCUCGAAAGCGUGGGGAGCAAACAGGAUUAGAUACCCUGGUAGUCCACGCCGUAAACGAUGAUUGCUAGUUGUCAGCCGGCAUGCCGGUUGGUGACGCAGCU
RNAcentral lists this ribosomal RNA (306 nucleotides) under uncultured bacterium. Its description in RNAcentral is "bacterial SSU rRNA". It matches the Rfam family "Bacterial small subunit ribosomal RNA", at positions 547 to 853 of the family's 1533-position model. The record is from RNAcentral.